UACGAAGGGUGCUAGCGUUGUUCGGAAUUACUGGGCGUAAAGAGUACGUAGGCGGUUUUAUUAGUUAGGCGUGAAAGCCCAGGGCUUAACCUUGGAAUAGCGCUUAAAACUGUAGAACUAGAGUAUGGGAGAGGAUAGUGGAAUUCCGAGUGUAGAGGUGGAAUUCGUAGAUAUUCGGAGGAACACCAGAGGCGAAAGCGACUAUCUGGAACAUUACUGACGCUGAGGUACGAAAGCGUGGGGAUCAAACAGG
Molecule: ribosomal RNA, 253 nt
Filed under: uncultured bacterium
Lineage: Bacteria
Description: partial 16S ribosomal RNA
Rfam family: Bacterial small subunit ribosomal RNA
Source: RNAcentral